RNAcentral lists this ribosomal RNA (253 nucleotides) under uncultured bacterium. Its description in RNAcentral is "partial 16S ribosomal RNA". It matches the Rfam family "Bacterial small subunit ribosomal RNA", at positions 524 to 776 of the family's 1533-position model. The record is from RNAcentral.
UACGAAGGGGACUAGCGUUGUUCGGAUUUACUGGGCGUAAAGGGCGCGUAGGCGGUUCGCUAAGUCAGGGGUGAAAUCCCAGGGCUCAACCCUGGAACUGCCUUUGAUACUGACGAUCUGGAGAUCGGGAGAGGUUGGUGGAAUUCCGAGUGUAGAGGUGAAAUUCGUAGAUAUUCGGAGGAACACCAGAAGCGAAAGCGGCCAACUGGACCGAUACUGACGCUGAGGCGCGAAAGCGUGGGGAGCAAACAGG